UGGGGAAUAUUGCACAAUGGGCGCAAGCCUGAUGCAGCGAUGCCGCGUGAGGGAAGAAGGUUUUAGGAUUGUAAACCUCUGUCUUAAGGGACGAUAAUGACGGUACCUUAGGAGGAAGCUCCGGCUAACUACGUGCCAGCAGCCGCGGUAAUACGUAGGGAGCGAGCGUUGUCCGGAAUUACUGGGUGUAAAGGGAGUGUAGGCGGGACUGCAAGUCAGGUGUGAAAACUAUGGGCUUAACCCAUAGACUGCACUUGAAACUGUAGUUCUUGAGUGAAGUAGAGGUAAGCGGAAUUCCUAGUGUAGCGGUGAAAUGCGUAGAUAUUAGGAGGAACAUCAGUGGCGAAGGCGGCUUACUGGGCUUUAACUGACGCUGAGGCUCGAAAGCGUGGGGAGCAAACA
This 402-nucleotide ribosomal RNA is filed under the name uncultured bacterium. RNAcentral describes it as "bacterial SSU rRNA". It matches the Rfam family "Bacterial small subunit ribosomal RNA", at positions 355 to 774 of the family's 1533-position model. The record is from RNAcentral.